GUGCUACAUAUGACAAGAAAUAUAUUAUCAAGCUAUUAUUGAUCUCAGAAUAUAUUUCUAUGUAUAUUUCUAAUAGGGGCUAUCAGAAUAGUCAUAAUAGAUGGAAGAGGCCAGGCACUAUUUGCUAUUGUCAAUAAACUAAUAGCUAAGAUUAUUCCAUUUUGUAACCAUAGACUGCCCUCCUGCUGCUGGUUAACGUAUUUUGAAAAGGACUGCUGUCAGUCCUCAAGGAAAAUAGAAACUUUCAGCUGCACAGUUCUAAGAUGGCUUUGUAAAAUCUUCACUCCAAACAACAGGUAUUAUCUAUAACUUAAGCAAGAAAUGCUGAUGGGGUCUGGUCUACAUAUCUCAGAGGGAAGAGAGGAGAACAGUGGGUGACAUCAUGUGCCAUAUGUUCAGCAAUACCUAUAGCACUGUAGGUACAAUGGGCAGAGGUGAGAGUCUUUAUGCCAAAUCUCUUCAUUGUUGGGGGAUGUGAUGAAUUUUAAAUUCAUAUUUUAUUUAUUUUCCAAGUACUGUAUUUUCUUGUCUGCUUUUCUUAAAAAAAAUUCAUAGAAUUUAUUUGCCUCUUCCAG
RNAcentral lists this long non-coding RNA (575 nucleotides) under Equus caballus (horse). RNAcentral describes it as "lncRNA (ENSECAG00000037433.3)". The record is from RNAcentral. Lineage: Eukaryota; Metazoa; Chordata; Mammalia; Perissodactyla; Equidae.